GACGAACGCUGGCGGCGUGCCUAAUACAUGCAAGUUGAGCGAUGAAGAUUGGUGCUUGCACCAAUUUGAAGAGCAGCGAACGGGUGAGUAACGCGUGGGGAAUCUGCCUUUGAGCGGGGGACAACAUUUGGAAACGAAUGCUAAUACCGCAUAACAACUUUAAACUUAAGUUUUAAGUUUGAAAGAUGCAAUUGCAUCACUCAAAGAUGAUCCCGCGUUGUAUUAGCUAGUUGGUGAGGUAAAGGCUCACCAAGGCGAUGAUACAUAGCCGACCUGAGAGGGUGAUCGGCCACAUUGGGACUGAGACACGGCCCAAACUCCUACGGGAGGCAGCAGUAGGGAAUCUUCGGCAAUGGACGAAAGUCUGACCGAGCAACGCCGCGUGAGUGAAGAAGGUUUUCGGAUCGUAAAACUCUGUUGGUAGAGAAGAACGCUGGUGAGAGUGGAAAGCUCAUCAAGUGACGGUAACUACCCAGAAAGGGACGGCUAACUACGUG
Molecule: ribosomal RNA, 497 nt
Filed under: uncultured bacterium
Lineage: Bacteria
Description: partial 16S ribosomal RNA
Rfam family: Bacterial small subunit ribosomal RNA
Source: RNAcentral